CAGUCGCCACGGGAAUACGAAGGGGGCUAGCGUUGUUCGGAUUUACUGGGCGUAAAGGGCGCGUAAGCGGGCGAUUAAGUCAGGGGUGAAAUCCCAAGGCUCAACCUUGGAACUGCCUUUGAUACUGAUUGUCUUGAGUUCGAGAGAGGUAAGUGGAACUGCGAGUGUAGGGGUGAAAUUCGUAGAUAUUCGCAAGAACACCAAUGGCGAAGGCGGCUUACUGGCUCGAAACUGACGCUGAGGCGCGAAAGCGUGGGGAGCAAACAGGAUUAGAUACCCCUGUAGUCCCUGUCUCUUAUAA
RNAcentral lists this ribosomal RNA (301 nucleotides) under uncultured bacterium. RNAcentral describes it as "partial 16S ribosomal RNA". It matches the Rfam family "Bacterial small subunit ribosomal RNA", at positions 509 to 809 of the family's 1533-position model. The record is from RNAcentral.